GAUGAACGCUGGUGGCGUGCCUAACACAUGCAAGUCGAGCGAUUCUCUUCGGAGAAGAGCGGCGGACGGGUGAGUAACGCGUGGGUAACCUGCCCUGUACACACGGAUAACAUACCGAAAGGUAUGCUAAUACGAGAUAACAUGCUUUUAUCGCAUGGUAGAAGUAUCAAAGCUUUUGCGGUACAGGAUCGACCCGCGUCUGAUUAGCUAGUUGGUGAGGUAACGGCUCACCAAGGCGACGAUCAGUAGCCGACCUGAGAGGGUGAUCGGCCACAUUGGAACUGAGACACGGUCCAAACUCCUACGGGAGGCAGCAGUGGGGAAUAUUGCACAAUGGGCGAAAGCCUGAUGCAGCAACGCCGCGUGAGCGAUGAAGGCCUUCGGGUCGUAAAGCUCUGUCCUCAAGGAAGAUAAUGACGGUACUUGAGGAGGAAGCCCCGGCUAACUACGUG
This 452-nucleotide ribosomal RNA is filed under the name uncultured bacterium. RNAcentral's name for it is "partial 16S ribosomal RNA". It matches the Rfam family "Bacterial small subunit ribosomal RNA", at positions 28 to 507 of the family's 1533-position model. The record is from RNAcentral.